Long non-coding RNA from Betta splendens (Siamese fighting fish), 1014 nucleotides. RefSeq lists it as uncharacterized. The record is from RefSeq and is a predicted model, not a curated record. NCBI's taxonomy places the organism in Eukaryota, Metazoa, Chordata, Actinopteri, Anabantiformes, Osphronemidae. The transcript has 3 exons.
UGCCAACGGGAAAAUGAUUCCUAACGCAAACACCCACUGGACAAAACCCAGGCGCUGACGCUUCAGACGGCCUUGCGUCUUGAUUGCGUGUCUGUGCCCAGAGACAAACCUGUUCCAGUUUCUGUGACCAAAAAUAAUGCAAGCUCCUCCAUUGAUCUCACAUCCUCACUAUGUCACGCUGCCAAAUCUGGACCCCCAGGACGGUCUGGUGUCCAGUUUCCUCGGCAAACAAUACGUUCCUGAAAAUAACCUCUGACAAAUUAGAGGCGACUGUGUUUGAUGCGCUGUACUCUUCCAUGACGGAAGAAACACCUACAGGUUAAGCUUUGCUUUCCCGUUAGAGCCAGAAAAAACUAUCAAAUUGUUAUUUUGAAGUGGAAUAUGUGAUGUGAUGUCAGAUGUGAUGUGAUAUGAUGAUAUGUGAUGUGAUGUGAUGUGAUGUGAUGUGAUGUGAUGUGAUGUGAUGUGAUGUGAUGUGUUGUCCGAUGUGAUGACAGAUUUGAUGUGAUGUGAUGUGAUGACAGAGGUGAGGCCUCCAGGACCUGUACUGAUCCGCUCCAUUCGGCCGGCGCCGCAAACGGAGCAGAACCCGACCCCUCACCAACACGAGCUUCAGCGGAGCGUUGCUGGGAUGCCUGCUUGUGUAGCCGCAGUCAGGAAAUGUGAGCGCUGGCAUCUGAGGGCGGCGGCAGCGCCAAGCCAAGCCGCCUCCUGGCCACCUGCGGCCCGGCCUCCUCCGCUGGGACACUGGGCCUCUUGUUUGUGCCGCGGCCGGUCCGCGCCGCUCUGGCCUGCGAGAGAUCAAUCAGGGGGUCUGUCUCAUUCCGCUGGAUUCCUGCAUGUGGAGACUCUCGAUCCUGUAAACGCUGCGGUGUAAACAGUGCCUCCAGAUCUUUCCACCGAAGCAACGCAACACAUUCGGAGGCUCGGACGAGUGGGUGGAUGUGUUUAGUUUGGGUUCAUCCGGUCCUGGGAGGUCUGAUAACGCGAGGCCGCUCCGCUUCAACGCAGAUG